This 73-nucleotide transfer RNA is filed under the name Planctomycetota bacterium. RNAcentral describes it as "Planctomycetes bacterium (hydrothermal vent metagenome) tRNA-Arg". It matches the Rfam family "tRNA". From Rfam's summary of the family: Transfer RNA (tRNA) molecules are approximately 80 nucleotides in length. Their secondary structure includes four short double-helical elements and three loops (D, anti-codon, and T loops). Further hydrogen bonds mediate the characteristic L-shaped molecular structure. tRNAs have two regions of fundamental functional importance: the anti-codon, which is responsible for specific mRNA codon recognition, and the 3' end, to which the tRNAs corresponding amino acid is attached (by aminoacyl-tRNA synthetases). tRNAs cope with the degeneracy of the genetic code in two manners: having more than one tRNA (with a specific anti-codon) for a particular amino acid; and 'wobble' base-pairing, i.e. permitting non-standard base-pairing at the 3rd anti-codon position. The record is from RNAcentral. Lineage: Bacteria; Pseudomonadati; Planctomycetota.
CCACCCGUAGCUCAGUGGAUAGAGCAAGCGGUUCCUAACCGCUAGGUCGCAGGUUCGAUCCCUGCCGGGUGGA